This 497-nucleotide ribosomal RNA is filed under the name uncultured bacterium. RNAcentral's name for it is "partial 16S ribosomal RNA". It matches the Rfam family "Bacterial small subunit ribosomal RNA", at positions 28 to 507 of the family's 1533-position model. The record is from RNAcentral.
GAUGAACGCUGGCGGCGUGCCUAAUACAUGCAAGUCGAGCGAACAGACCAGGAUCUUGCUCCUCUCACGUUAGCGGCUGACGGGUGAGUAACACGUGGAUAACCUACCUAUAAUACUGGGAUAACUUCGAGACACCGGAGCUAAUACCAGAUAAUAUAUUGAACCGCAUUGUUCAAUAGUGAAACACGGCUUUGCCGUCACUUAUAGAUGGUUCCGCGCCGCAUUAGCUAGUUGGUAAGGUAACGGCUUACCAAGGCAGCGAUGCGUAGCCGACCUGAGAGGGUGGUCAGCCACACUGGAACUGAGACAGGGUCCGGACGCCUUCGGUAGGGAGCAGGAGGGAACAUUACGCAAUGGGCGGAAGCGUGACGUAGUGAGACCGAGCGAGUUAUGAAGAUGAUGGGUUCGUAAAAAUCUGUUGUUAGGGAGGAACAGAUGGCUACGUAAGCUAACAUGUAUUGACGGUAACUAAGCAAAAAGCUACGGCUAACUACGUG